This 467-nucleotide ribosomal RNA is filed under the name uncultured bacterium. RNAcentral describes it as "partial 16S ribosomal RNA". It matches the Rfam family "Bacterial small subunit ribosomal RNA", at positions 28 to 507 of the family's 1533-position model. The record is from RNAcentral.
GACGAACGCUGGCGGUGUGCUUAGCACAUGCAAGUCGAACGGAAAGGCCUCUUUCGGGGGGUACUCGAGUGGCGAACGGGUGAGUAACACGUGAGUAACCUGCCCUUGACUUUGGGUUAACUUCAGUAAACUGGGGCUAAUACCGGAUAGGAGCUCCUGCUGCAUGGUGGGGGUUAUAAAGUUUCGGGGGUUGGGGAUGGACUCACGGCGUAUCAGCUUGUUGUUGGGGUAUUGGGUUACCAAGGCUUUGACGGGUAGCCGGCCUGAGAGGGUGACCCGCCACAUUGGGACUGAGGUACGGCCCAGACUCCGACGGGAGGCAGCUGGGGGGAAGAUUGCACAAGGGGUGGAAGCCGGAUGCAGCAACGCCGUGGGCGGGAUGACGGCCUUCGGGUUGUAAACCGCUUUCGCUCAUGACGAAGCUUUGUGUGACGGUAGUGGGUAAAGAAGCACCGGCUAACUACGUG